RNAcentral lists this long non-coding RNA (418 nucleotides) under Trifolium pratense (red clover). RNAcentral's name for it is "long non-coding RNA (TPRA_LNC006207)". Lineage: Eukaryota; Viridiplantae; Streptophyta; Magnoliopsida; Fabales; Fabaceae. The record is from RNAcentral.
GUUAGCUGUGGCCAGUUAAGUUAGUCUUAUGAACUGGAGUAUAAGUAAAUGUUUCAAUGUAUGAUAUGAUAACUAUAUAUUUUGAUUACUUAAUUAGGGCAAACCUUGGGAGUACUUUAUUGUUAGAUUAUGCUAGUUAGAUUGGAUGCUAUGAUUAAUACAAUGAUUAUGGAGCCUGAAUUAUGUUAACCUUGGAUCUUUUAUAAGUGAAAGUGCCAGGAAAAAUGUAGUUGUACUUAAUUAUUUGUUAAUUAUUGUGAGAUGUAAUUAAUUGUACUUUGUAUAUAUGUAUAUACGAGGAAGAGGAUGAUACAAAAUAUAUAUAUACGAGAAAGCUCCUUUGGAGUUGUCAUAUUUAAAUGGACAAUAUAUAGUAUAUACCUCUUUUGUUGUAAAUCAAAAAAUAAGUGGAGAACAA